Sturnus vulgaris (Common starling) is the source of this 497-nucleotide non-coding RNA. The record is from RefSeq and is a predicted model, not a curated record. Lineage: Eukaryota; Metazoa; Chordata; Aves; Passeriformes; Sturnidae.
UGGCCACAGGAUCCUGCCCCUCCCUGCAGAGCUCUCAGGCAACCCUGGUGUCACAGCUCAGUCACUGCCCCAGCACACCUGCAAGAGGAACAUUUCCAGAGGCUCUGCUUUCCCUGAGGAAAGGCUGGGCUGCCUCCUCUGGGGUUCCGGGGGCUUGGAGGGAAUGGUUGUUCUGUACCAGCUAAAGGGGAGGAUGAUAAUAAAAUAAUAAGAAUAAAAGUAAGAAUCGAACCAUAAUGUGGGGAAAGAGGAGGCAUUAGGAAUAGAGGUGUUAAGACCAGGUCCUAAGAAUGGAAGGGCUCAGGAUGGCCAGCAAAGUUGGAAAGAGCCUGGAAUGCCAUGAAGAAUUGAUUGAUGACUUUUCAAAAGCCAAAAAAUAAAAAGUACAAGCCCAAGCCCUGAAAGACCAAAACCAAGAGCCCUUCCACCACCAGGACCCUGGUUAGUUUGGAGGAGGUGGUUAUGGUGCUGAUGGCCGUACCUGUGCUGGGAGCUCU